CUCUCCUAGUUAUUCCAUUACAUUUCCAUCUUCAGUUAACACCACAAGAUCACAACUGACACUAGCCAUGGCAGUUCUGCUCUGAACAAAGACCUCGGGCCCUGCUGUCCCAAGUCUCUGGUGACCCACACACUACUGUCACCUGCUGUGAGAGCAGCACUCUCCACAGGGGAAUGCAAUGAUAAGACCCAUGUCGGAUUCUCUUGUGUAUAGUGAAGCAUUUGAGAUAACAUUUGAAGUAAAAGAAAUUGUGUUCAAACAAGGUGACAGCUGAGAAGGAGAUGGUGAUUAACACAGAGAUCCACAAGUCAAAGUGCUGAGAAUAAGAGACUAUGGACAUCUCCUUCUUCCAAGGCUUGGGGACCACUGGAACACUGGCUGGAAGAAUGGUAAGAGCCAGAGAUGGUGGAUAGCUAUGAGGGAACAGUGUUCUCCAGACACAACAGAUUAUCCAUCACACCU
Peromyscus eremicus (cactus mouse) is the source of this 462-nucleotide long non-coding RNA. RefSeq lists it as uncharacterized. The record is from RefSeq and is a predicted model, not a curated record. Lineage: Eukaryota; Metazoa; Chordata; Mammalia; Rodentia; Cricetidae. The transcript has 4 exons.